This 1023-nucleotide long non-coding RNA is filed under the name Homo sapiens (human). RNAcentral's name for it is "HSALNT0368465". Lineage: Eukaryota; Metazoa; Chordata; Mammalia; Primates; Hominidae. The record is from RNAcentral.
CUCCCACUCCCACCCCGGGGGACCAAUUUCUGAAGUCAUCUUCCCCCCACUUAUUACACUGCAACCUAGUCUCCCUUGUCUUUUUUGGUCCAUCUUUGGAUUUAUUUCCCUGAAGUGGGUGGGCAGGAAUGAAGCAGACUAGAGGUGCUUCCAGAUCUGUUCCGCCCUUCAUCAGUGUCCACCCUUCCCCUCUGAACCAGUCCAAGACUGCGACAUUUGUGUCAGAAGUCCCUUUGGCCCCUUUCCUGCUCCUGAAUCCCUGGAGUGGUAUUUGGAGGUGGGAGGAGGGGUAAGGUCCGAAGUGGAAAGUCUGACGCUGAGUCCAGGCCCCCAGCCCCACUCAGACUGGCUGAGCUCAUCUCUCCAAGCAACCGCAGCUGGACAUUUUCCAUGUGAUCACCUCAGGGAGGGGGGCUGGGUUCCAGAAACCCAGACAGAGUUGACUGAGUAUCACAGCUUAGGAACAGAGCACCCUCAGGUGCCUCCUCUCCGCCUUCUCCUGUGUUUUGCAUGGGAAAGCCCUGGGGGAGUAGCAAGGAAUGGAGAAACAGACCUGGAGAAGGGCCAAAGCUGGAAUAUAUUUUGGGCCCAAGUUGACCCAGGUUUCUACAUCUUUCCCAUGUUCACCAUUUGUGCUGGCCAGGCUGGGAAAAGAUCCUGUGUGAUGUGAAUGUGCCUGUGAGAUACUGGAGGGCCAGAGAAAGCAAGCUUGAAACAGAGAGGAACGGGUCACUUUGGUGGAGGAAAUUGGGCCACCAAGCAGCCCUAUGGAGAGGCCAAUGUGGAGAGAAACUGAGGCCUUCCACCAAAAGCCAGCACCAACUUGCUAUCCAUAGUCUUAUUCUGUUGCCCAGGCUGGAGUGAAGUGGCGCGAUCUCGGCCCACUGCAACCUUCACCUCCCGAGUUCGAGCGAUUCUUGUGCCUCAGCCCCCGGAGUAGCUGGGACAAAAAUCUUUAACUGUGAUUAAAAACACAUAUAAAAUUUACCAUGUUAAUGAAUUUUAAGUAUACAGUUCAGUAGU